ACUCGAGUGGCGAACGGGUGAGUAACACGUGGGUGAUCUGCCCUGCACUUCGGGAUAAGCCUGGGAAACUGGGUCUAAUACCGGAUAGGAGCCAUUUUUAGUGUGAUGGUUGGUAAGUUUUUCGGUGUAGGAUGAGCUCGCGGCCUAUCAGCUUGUUGGUGGGGUAAUGGCCUACCAAGGCGGCGACGGGUAGCCGGCCUGAGAGGGUGGACGGCCACAUUGGGACUGAGAUACGGCCCAG
Molecule: ribosomal RNA, 241 nt
Filed under: uncultured Actinomycetales bacterium
Lineage: Bacteria; Bacillati; Actinomycetota; Actinomycetes; Actinomycetales
Description: partial 16S ribosomal RNA
Rfam family: Bacterial small subunit ribosomal RNA
Source: RNAcentral